CUUGUACAACUAUGGAGCGUAUGUCCACAUAUAAUUGUACAAUUUGUUUUUCCAACAUAAAGACAAGAAAUGUUCACAUUGGUAUUUUAACGGUGUUAUUGUAAGAGUUUAAAUGUUUAAACAGAGGAUACAUCUAAAACAGGAUAAAACAAGUGCAGUAUGUUGUGAGAAUGUUACUUUAACGUCGACUCAUAACGUCACACUAUAACUUCAUGGGAGUCUUGUGGAAAGACUGCAUGUUGUUUUGGGUGGAUUGAGUGACGUCUUCAUCAACAUUUUGCAGAAUAUUCCGGUAAUAUUUUCACCUCUUGUCGGCUGCAGACAUUCAUAAGGAGUUCCAGUAGUUUACUUGCCAUUUGCAGGUAUUAAAAGUAAUACAUAUAUUGUAAUUCCUUGUUGGAUCUCUCUCACAUAAAGGACAGUACAUACCAGAGGAGGCUGCUGAGGGGAGGACGGCUCAUAAUAAUGUCUGGAACAGAGUGAAUGAAAUGGAACACAUGGAAACCACGUGUUUGAUACCAUUCCACUCAUUCCACUCCAGCCAUUACAAGCCUGUCCUCCCUAAAUAAGGUCCCACCAACCUCCUGUGGUACAAACACAAACAGUAAAAUAUAUCAUAAAAAAUGAACCCAAAAGGUUCAGUCAUGUUGUAAUAGUCUGAUGACAUCAGUUUAGGUUUAUGAUUUAACAGGCAGAUAGAACUGGGAUAGAAGCUGUUCUAGAACCUGUGGUCCAGAAACUGAUUUAACAGGCAGAUAGAACUGGGAUAGAAGCUGUUCUAGAACCUGUGGUCCAGAAACUGAUUUAACAGGCAGAUAGAACUGGGAUAGAAGCUGUUCUAGAACCUGUGGUCCAGAAACUGAUUUAACAGGCAGAUAGAACUGGGAUAGAAGCUGUUCUAGAACCUGUGGUCCAGAAACUGAUUUAACAGGCAGAUAGAACUGGGAUAGAAGCUGUUCUAGAACCUGUGGUCCAGAAACUGAUUUAACAGACAGAUAGAACUGGGAUAGAAGCUGUUCUAGAACCUGUGGUCCAGAAACUGAUUUAACAUGUGUGAGUGUCCAGUGUGUGUGUGUGUGUGUGUGUGUGUGUGUGUGUGUGUGUGUGUGUGUGUGUGUGUGUGUGUGUGUGUGUGUUUGUGUGUGUAUCCAGUGUGUGUGUGUGUGUGUGUUUGUGUGUGUAUCCAGUGUGUGUGUGUGUGUGUGUAUCCAGUGUGUGGAUCCAGUGUGUGUGUGUGUGUGAGUGUGUGUAUCCAUUGUGUUUGUGUGUGUGUAUCCAGUGUGUGUGUGUGUGUGUGUGUGUGUAUCCAAUGAGUGUGUGUGUGUCCAGUGAGUGUGUGUGUCCAGUGUGUUUCUGUGUGUGAAUCCA
Molecule: long non-coding RNA, 1368 nt
Filed under: Salmo salar (Atlantic salmon)
Lineage: Eukaryota; Metazoa; Chordata; Actinopteri; Salmoniformes; Salmonidae
Description: lncRNA (ENSSSAG00000091483.1)
Source: RNAcentral